UACCGGGAUCGAACCCAGGAUCUCUGGUAUGAUAGAUCAGUGCGCUGUCUGUCAUGCCACGUUCGUACUUUAUAUUUAUUGUUCGCGC
Molecule: long non-coding RNA, 88 nt
Organism: Trachymyrmex cornetzi
Lineage: Eukaryota; Metazoa; Arthropoda; Insecta; Hymenoptera; Formicidae
Exons: 4
Source: RefSeq, a predicted model, not a curated record